CGAAAAACAAACAACAUAACCAGAAACAAAAAAAGAAAAUAAAAACCAAAACAUAUCUAAACAAAACGAACACCGAGUACGGACUUACGAAUUUUUAUUGUUUUAUGUAUCAUUAUGAAAAUGCAUAUACAUAUGUAUUUUCAAAAAUAAAUUUUUUGCUCGACACAAUAAACUUUGAUUCAUGACAUCAUUGGAAUUUGAAAAAUUAGAAACUUAAAGAGCAGCAAAAACACAUUCAAUUUACUUGAAAUCGUUUUUCGGUAAAUUGGUUUUUAAUACACUGAACAGGAUAUACUAAGUUUGGCACGAUGUUUGUCAAAUCCAAAAGGAAACGGCAGAGUCCCUAUAGAGUAUAUAAAUAUGUAUGUCUCUUUUUUAACAAAUCGUUUUGAAGAGCAGGAAAAAAAGUCCUAAUACUACUAGCAUGGAAACAAAACAUACUUUAGACCAAAAAAAAAGCAAGUUUUGCAGCAUCAAAAUCAGGCAUAUCAAUUCAUUUCACUAAUGACAAGUUGAUCGAAACAGCUACGAAAUAUACUAUAAUAUAUCAAUUGAAUUCUGAUCAAUCAACAGCUAGUAGUUAAAUAUAAACAUUACCCAAAUGAUAUCGCUUGUUUACUGACCUUCUUAGAUAAAUUUGUAGAUAAUGGUCCAUGGAAUAGAUUUUUGAUAAAGAUUUCGAUUUUUAAGGCUUCAGAGUGCCUUUUCUACAAAAAUCUACUAUUUUUUGUGGUUCUUGUGGAGAUCGACUGCGGCAUCAAGAAAAACCAAAUUUUUUCAAAAUUAAGCGCCGAUUAUUAAAGCAUAUUAAAG
Molecule: non-coding RNA, 813 nt
Organism: Bactrocera oleae (olive fruit fly)
Lineage: Eukaryota; Metazoa; Arthropoda; Insecta; Diptera; Tephritidae
Source: RefSeq, a predicted model, not a curated record